CCAGAGAACUUAGCAGAGAUGCUUUUGGUGCCUUCGGGAACUCUGAGACAGGUGCUGCAUGGCUGUCGUCAGCUCGUGUUGUGAAAUGUUGGGUUAAGUCCCGCAAGAGCGCAACCCUUAUCCUUUGUUGCCAGCGGCUCGGCCGGGAACUCAAAGGAGACUGCCGGUGAUAAACCGGAGGAAGGUGGGGAUGACGUCAAGUCAUCAUGGCCCUUACGGCCAGGGCUACACACGUGCUACAAUGGCGCAUACAAAGAGAAGCGACCUCGCGAGAGCAAGCGGACCUCAUAAAGUGCGUCGUAGUCCGGAUUGGAGUCUGCAACUCGACUCCAUGAAGUCGGAAUCGCUAGUAAUCGUAGAUCAGAAUGCUACGGUGAAUACGUUCCCGGGCCUUGUACACACCGCCCGUCACACCAUGGGAGUGGGUUGCAAAAGAAGUAGGUAGCUUAACCUUCGGGAGGGCGCUUACCACUUUGUGAUUCAUGACUGGGGUGAAGUCGUAACAAGGUAGGCGUAGCGAG
RNAcentral lists this ribosomal RNA (521 nucleotides) under uncultured bacterium. RNAcentral's name for it is "bacterial SSU rRNA". It matches the Rfam family "Bacterial small subunit ribosomal RNA", at positions 988 to 1509 of the family's 1533-position model. The record is from RNAcentral.